Chelonoidis abingdonii (Abingdon island giant tortoise) is the source of this 1012-nucleotide long non-coding RNA. RefSeq lists it as uncharacterized. The record is from RefSeq and is a predicted model, not a curated record. NCBI's taxonomy places the organism in Eukaryota, Metazoa, Chordata, Testudines, Testudinidae.
GCUGCCCUUCCCCCGCCCCCUCGGUCUUGGCAGGUUUCCUACCCUGGCCGCGGACCUGCUCUGCACCCACGUGCAGGCCCCGGAUCGGUAUGCGGCCUGCAGCACCACAACAUCCCUUUUGACCUGGACUGACCUUUGACCAGCCAGUCGUCGAGGUACGGAUAGAUCUGGAUACCCCGACGCCUGGGGGCCUGCCGUCGAAGGGAAGGUCCAGCAUUCACGGCUGAACUUCUGUCGACAGACCCGAGAGGAGCAGCCAGGAUGCCCUCAGCCUCGAGAUGGCCGAGGCCAUGGUGUGAGCCACAGAGUCAGCCGCAUCUGAAGCUGCAUGGAGGGCCACCCUGGUGCCCUCCUUGAGGAUCACCCAGAAUUCCUUCUUGGACCCUUCGGGAAGCAAAACCUCGAACUUGGCCAUUGCCUGCCACAUGUUGUAAUCACAGCGGCCAAGGAGGGCUUGGUGGCUGGCCAUUCUCAACUAAAGGCUGGAAGAUGAAUAAAUCUUUCACCAAAACAGAUCCAGUCUCUUCGAGUCUUUAUUUUUAGGCAUAGGACCAGGUUGCCGCUGCCUCUCUCUUUGAUUAACAGCCUCAACUACAAGAGACUUUGGGCCUGGGAGGGUGCAGAGAUACUCCUGGCCUUUAGCUGGCACAACGUAUUUACAUUCAGUCCUUUUCGAAACGGGGGGCAGGGAAGAGGGGGUUUGCCACAGAGCAUUAAUAAUAUGUGAUUCAUGCAGGGGCAGGUGCCGUGGAGCAGAAGAUGUAGUAGUUCCUCUUCAGUAGUUCCUUAUGUGCCUUGGCAUCAUCUUGUGGAACUGGGUGAAGGGUACCUAUGAUGGCUUCGUCCAGCAACAAUGAAGAUGACGACAACAUUGCUUGAUGGUCCAGCCGGCUGUUUCCCUGUCUGCUCAUGGGCCUGGGAAGUUCUGUCUUCUGGGGCCUCCACCUCUGGUCCUGUUGGUAUCCAGGAAGUGGGCAGGCAAAGCCCACCCACUGCUAAAGGACCUCCCCCC